GCUGCCCGGAGGGACGGACGUGUACCUUCAAUAGUGUUACUGCUGUAAUGAAGACUUCCGACUGCGACGAUGGCAACUUCCUUUAUGGCGAUGAUUGCUAUCUUUUUGACACGACGCAUAGAACUUGGGAGGAAGGCGAGAAGUUUUGUCUCGCCCGGCGAGGCCACCUGGCUAGCAUACACUCUGAGCAAGAUGCCCGAUUCAUUAUUGAUCACGCAUAUUACUAUCAUACUUGGAUGGGAGAAAAGAAGAAGGGCAACAACUACGAGUGGACUGACGGAACAGCUUCUG
This is a long non-coding RNA of Syngnathus acus (greater pipefish), 291 nucleotides long. RefSeq lists it as uncharacterized. The transcript is spliced from 3 exons. NCBI's taxonomy places the organism in Eukaryota, Metazoa, Chordata, Actinopteri, Syngnathiformes, Syngnathidae. The record is from RefSeq and is a predicted model, not a curated record.